Molecule: ribosomal RNA, 465 nt
Filed under: uncultured bacterium
Lineage: Bacteria
Description: partial 16S ribosomal RNA
Rfam family: Bacterial small subunit ribosomal RNA
Source: RNAcentral
GAUGAACGCUGGCGGCGUGCUUAACACAUGCAAGUCGAACGGAAAGGCUCCUGCUUGCAGGGGUACUCGAGUGGCGAACGGGUGAGUAACACGUGGGUGAUCUGCCCUGCACUUCGGGAUAAGCCUGGGAAACUGGGUCUAAUACCGGAUAGGACCACAUUUUGGAUGGUGUGGUGGAAAGUUUUUCGGUGUGGGAUGAGCUCGCGGCCUAUCAGCUUGUUGGUGGGGUAAUGGCCUACCAAGGCGUCGACGGGUAGCCGGCCUGAGAGGGUGUACGGCCACAUUGGGACUGAGAGAGGGCCCAGACUCCUACGGGAGGCAGAAGUGGGGAAUAUUGCACAAUGGGCGCAAGCCUGAUGCAGCGACGCCGCGUGGGGGAUGACGGCCUUCGGGUUGUAAACUCCUUUCGCUAGGGACGAAGCGCAAGUGACGGUACCUGGAGAAGAAGCACCGGCUAACUACGUG